CAGAUUGGGAUAACUCCGGGAAACCGGGGCUAAUACCGAAUAACAUUGGAAGCCUCAUGGCUUCCUUUUGAAAGGCGGCUUCGGCUGUCACUGCAGGAUGGGCCCGCGGCGCAUUAGCUAGUUGGUGGGGUAACGGCCCACCAAGGCCACGAUGCGUAGCCGACCUGAGAGGGUGAUCGGCCACACUGGGACUGAGACACGGCCCAGACUCCUACGGGAGGCAGCAGUAGGGAAUCUUCCGCAAUGGACGAAAGUCUGACGGAGCAACGCCGCGUGAGUGAAGAAGGUUUUCGGAUCGUAAAACUCUGUUGUCAGGGAAGAACAAGUACGGGAGUAACUGCCCGUACCUUGACGGUACCUGGCCAGAAAGCCACGGCUAACUACGUGCCAGCAGCCGCGGUAAUACGUAGGUGGCAAGCGUUGUCCGGAAUUAAUUGGGCGUAAAGCGCGCGCAGGCGGCCUUUUAAGUCUGAUGUGAAAGCCCCCGGCUCAACCGGGGAGGGUCAUUGGAAACUGGAAGGCUUGAGUGCAGAAGAGAAGAGCGGAAUUCCACGUGUAGCGGUGAAAUGCGUAGAGAUGUGGAGGAACACCAGUGGCGAAGGCGGCUCUUUGGUCUGUAACUGACGCUGAGGCGCGAAAGCGUGGGGAGCGAACAGGAUUAGAUACCCUGGUAGUCCACGCCGUAAACGAUGAGUGCUAAGUGUUGGGGGGUUUCCGCCCCUCAGUGCUGCAGCUAACGCAUUAAGCACUCCGCCUGGGGAGUACGGCCGCAAGGCUGAAACUCAAAGGAAUUGACGGGGGCCCGCACAAGCGGUGGAGCAUGUGGUUUAAUUCGAAGCAACGCGAAGAACCUUACCAGGUCUUGACAUCCCGCUGGCCGGUAUAGAGAUAUACCUUUCCCUUCGGGGACAGCGGUGACAGGUGGUGCAUGGUUGUCGUCAGCUCGUGUCGUGAGAUGUUGGGUUAAGUCCCGCAACGAGCGCAACCCUUGAUCUUAGUUGCCAGCAUUUAGUUGGGCACUCUAAGGUGACUGCCGGUGACAAACCGGAGGAAGGUGGGGAUGACGUCAAAUCAUCAUGCCCCUUAUGACCUGGGCUACACACGUGCUACAAUGGAUGGUACAAAGGGCUGCAAGACCGCGAGGUUUA
This 1148-nucleotide ribosomal RNA is filed under the name Bacillaceae bacterium MOLA 662. Its description in RNAcentral is "bacterial SSU rRNA". It matches the Rfam family "Bacterial small subunit ribosomal RNA", at positions 134 to 1266 of the family's 1533-position model. The record is from RNAcentral. Lineage: Bacteria; Bacillati; Bacillota; Bacilli; Caryophanales; Bacillaceae.